UGCGUAGGGGGCAAGCGUUGUCCGGAAUCAUUGGGCGUAAAGCGCGUGUAGGCGGCCCGAUAAGUCCGCUGUGAAAGUCCAGGGCUCAACCCUGGGAUGCCGGUGGAUACUGUCGGGCUCGAGUCCGGAAGAGGAGUGUGGAAUUCCUGGUGUAGCGGUGAAAUGCACAGAUAUCAGGAGGAACACCAAUGGCGAAGGCAGCACUCUGGGACGUGACUGACGCUGAGACGCGAAAGCGUGGGGAGCGAACAGG
Molecule: ribosomal RNA, 253 nt
Filed under: uncultured bacterium
Lineage: Bacteria
Description: partial 16S ribosomal RNA
Rfam family: Bacterial small subunit ribosomal RNA
Source: RNAcentral